RNAcentral lists this unclassified non-coding RNA (239 nucleotides) under Hevea brasiliensis (rubber tree). The record is from RNAcentral. Lineage: Eukaryota; Viridiplantae; Streptophyta; Magnoliopsida; Malpighiales; Euphorbiaceae.
GCCCUGCAUACAUGAAAAGGAAAUAAAAAGGAACAAGAAACCCCCAGCCAGGAUCCAAUCAAAGAGAUGGAAGAAAAUGAGGCACAACAGAUUCAGAGCCACAGCAACUACAUCAAAGCUGUCAAUUUCCCCCGGGCCAUAACAUUCAAAAUGAAUGAUCAGUCAAAGGAUAAUGUGCCAUGAUCCAUAGGCAUGGGAAAUGCAUUGGAAAGCUACCAGUUUUCCAUUACUUUCCAACU